This 435-nucleotide small RNA is filed under the name Arabidopsis thaliana (thale cress). Its description in RNAcentral is "ATSL106510". Lineage: Eukaryota; Viridiplantae; Streptophyta; Magnoliopsida; Brassicales; Brassicaceae. The record is from RNAcentral.
AUAAAACAAAGUUUUCUUUUGUAGGAUUCUAAGACGAUCAAAGAUGGCAAAAUGGAGUGCAAUAUUAGUGAUACUGAUGGUGGUGAUUGCUGCGUUGGCAGUAGAAGCAAAAUGGAGUGAAAAAGAUUCUAGUGAUGACGACCAAUGUUAUCGCGAGUGUAUAAAGUCUUGCAGGAAACACGACGACGGCGAUUGCUUUGAAAUGUGCAGAGCGAUGUGCCCAAUUACCGCUCACCAUAGUUCAUCACGGUACUAUAUACUUUCUCUACCCAAUUUCUAUAAAUAUUUAAUUUCUUAAUUAACUAAUUUUGGUUUUUGUGUUUACAAAUAUAUAACUUAACUUACGAAUUGUUCUAAUUUUAUGAUAUAUAUGCAUGGAUAGAAGAAUCCCACAUGGGAUGGAAUCAGUGGAAGUUGGCGGAAGGAGAAAAUGAU